RNAcentral lists this ribosomal RNA (305 nucleotides) under uncultured bacterium. Its description in RNAcentral is "bacterial SSU rRNA". It matches the Rfam family "Bacterial small subunit ribosomal RNA", at positions 334 to 655 of the family's 1533-position model. The record is from RNAcentral.
GCAACCUACGGGAGGCAGCAGUGGGGAAUAUUGCACAAUGGGGGAAACCCUGAUGCAGCGACGCCGCGUGAGUGAAGAAGUAUUUCGGUAUGUAAAGCUCUAUCAGCAGGAACGAGACAAGACGGUACCUGACUAAGAAGCCCCGGCUAACUACGUGCCAGCAGCCGCGGUAAUACGUAGGGGGCAAGCGUUAUCCGGAAUUACUGGGUGUAAAGGGAGCGUAGCCGGUAAUGCAAGUCUGGAGUGAAAGGCGGGGGCCCAACCCCCGGACUGCUCUGGAAACUGUGUAACUGGAGUGCAGGAGG